UACGUAGGUGGCAAGCGUUGUUCGGAAUUAUUGGGCGUAAAGCGUGCGCAGGCGGUUUUGUAAGCCAGAUGUGAAAUCCCCGGGCUCAACCUGGGAAUGGCAUUUGGGACUGCAAGGCUUGAGUGCGGCAGAGGAGACUGGAAUUCCUGGUGUAGCAGUGAAAUGCGUAGAUAUCAGGAGGAACACCGAUGGCGAAGGCAGGUCUCUGGGCUGACACUGACGCUCAUGCACGAAAGCGUGGGGAGCAAACAGG
Molecule: ribosomal RNA, 253 nt
Filed under: uncultured bacterium
Lineage: Bacteria
Description: partial 16S ribosomal RNA
Rfam family: Bacterial small subunit ribosomal RNA
Source: RNAcentral